This 496-nucleotide ribosomal RNA is filed under the name uncultured bacterium. Its description in RNAcentral is "partial 16S ribosomal RNA". It matches the Rfam family "Bacterial small subunit ribosomal RNA", at positions 29 to 507 of the family's 1533-position model. The record is from RNAcentral.
AUGAACGCUGGCGGCGUGCCUAAUACAUGCAAGUCGAGCGAACAGACGAGGAGCUUGCUCCUUCGACGUUAGCGGCGGACGGGUGAGUAACACGUAGGUAACCUACCUAUAAGACUGGGAUAACUUCGGGAAACCGGAGCUAAUACCGGAUAAUAUUUCGAACCGCACGGUUCGAUAGUGAAAGAUGGCUUUGCUAUCACUUAUAGAUGGACCUGCGCCGUAUUAGCUAGUUGGUAAGGUAACGGCUUACCAAGGCAACGAUACGUAGCCGACCUGAGAGGGUGAUCGGCCACACUGGAACUGAGACACGGUCCAGACUCCUACGGGAGGCAGCAGUAGGGAAUCUUCCGCAAUGGGCGAAAGCCUGACGGAGCAACGCCGCGUGAGUGAUGAAGGUCUUCGGAUCGUAAAACUCUGUUAUUAGGGAAGAACAAACGUGUAAGUAACUGUGCACGUCUUGACGGUACCUAAUCAGAAAGCCACGGCUAACUACGUG